Sorex araneus (European shrew) is the source of this 105-nucleotide small nuclear RNA. The record is from RefSeq and is a predicted model, not a curated record. NCBI's taxonomy places the organism in Eukaryota, Metazoa, Chordata, Mammalia, Eulipotyphla, Soricidae.
GUUUGCUUCAGCAGUACAUAUAGAGAAAUUGGAACUAUACAGAGAAUAUUAGCAUUGUUCCGGCACAAGGAUGGCAUGGAAAUUCAUGAAGCGUUUCCUAUUUUU